CUCCUGGAAACGGGUGGUAAUGCCGGAUGCUCCGACUCCUCGCAUGGGGUGUCGGGAAAGAUUUCAUCGGUAUGGGAUGGGGUCGCGUCCUAUCAGGUAGUCGGCGGGGUAACGGCCCACCGAGCCUACGACGGGUAGCCGGCCUGAGAGGGCGACCGGCCACAUUGGGACUGAGAUACGGCCCAGACUCCUACGGGAGGCAGCAGUGGGGAAUAUUGCACAAUGGGCGCAAGCCUGAUGCAGCGACGCCGCGUGCGGGAUGACGGCCUUCGGGUUGUAAACCGCUUUUGAUCGGGAGCAAGCCUUCGGGUGAGUGUACCUUUCGAAUAAGCACCGGCUAACUACGUGCCAGCAGCCGCGGUAAUACGUAGGGUGCAAGCGUUAUCCGGAAUUAUUGGGCGUAAAGGGCUCGUAGGCGGUUCGUCGCGUCCGGUGUGAAAGUCCAUCGCUUAACGGUGGAUCUGCGCCGGGUACGGGCGGGCUGGAGUGCGGUAGGGGAGACUGGAAUUCCCGGUGUAACGGUGGAAUGUGUAGAUAUCGGGAAGAA
RNAcentral lists this ribosomal RNA (547 nucleotides) under Bifidobacterium pseudocatenulatum. RNAcentral's name for it is "bacterial SSU rRNA". It matches the Rfam family "Bacterial small subunit ribosomal RNA", at positions 147 to 706 of the family's 1533-position model. Lineage: Bacteria; Bacillati; Actinomycetota; Actinomycetes; Bifidobacteriales; Bifidobacteriaceae. The record is from RNAcentral.